GCGAUCCUUAUGUUUCUUUUUUUGCAGGGGGCGGCCAUGGGGAGGGGAGGCGAAUCGGAGAGGCGACACUGUGCUCCGGCGCCGGAUCAAGCUGCGGGGGAGGCAGGAGCCACACGAGGAGACGAAGGAGGAGAAAAUGAAGAGGCAUGGAGGAGAGGCGGGAGAGCGGGAAGGGCUGGGGCGUCGCCCACGACGCCGAGCUUGACGGCGGCCUUGCGAUGGCGCAGUCGGCGAGGACCUGUCGGAUCUGGCCGGAUCUGGUGGGAAAUUGCACGCAAGCGGUGGAUCUGGAAGGAAGACGGCCGAAGCUUCGAGCACAAUGGCUGGUGGACGCGCCAUGGCCCACGCCGGCGAGAGAAGAGAGAGAUGAGUGGGAGAGAAAAGAGAGGACGGGAAGGAGAUGAGAGGCCAGAGGGAGAGAGAAGGGAGUGGUGGUCACUUCAACGGGCUGCAGCGCGGCGCCGCCCCGGCCGCUGAGGCCGCCCGACCACCCCAUCGCCGAGUCGCCACCCCCACUGACUGCCCCGUGCUCGCCCUUAGACCAAGUCAAGCCAGCGAUCAUUGCCCACAUCACCGAACCUCGCUCCCCUUCUCCACCCCAGCAAGCACGCACGCUUGGAGGCGCCCAGGAGCUCGCCGGCAACACUCAGCAGACAUAGGAGAGCUGCAUGCAUGAUGCGUUUGAAUGUGUGGACGCGAGGCAGUGGAGGGCUCAGCAAGUUAACAAAUUAUAUUGCCUUGUACUACAUUUUAACAAAUUGGCUCCUACGAAGACUAAUGGAAGGAUCAUCAGACCAACAUAGUCAAAUUGGUUGCUUCAAAUUUUUGGUCUUGGAGUUGAUCAGCAGCACGCGGACAUGCAUCAGGAAGCCAACGGACAGCCAGAGCAGGAAGGCGUGGAUCUUGAGCUGCAGCGACAACAACAACUUGGGCGUUGCCUGCAAAAAAAACAACAGUUCAAGUGCUCAAUCAAGUGUAAGUUUGCAUUCAGUCAAUUAUUGCAGUUCUACAAUGACACAUUCAGAUUCUUGCAUCCAAAGUUAGAUAGGAACAGGGAAAGAAUCUCCAACGCUUAUUUACAUGGGAAAGAACACUCUUGUUGUAACUUUGAUUCAGAUCCUCAGUCUAUCUGAAGCACCAUAGAUUGAGUUUGCAAGCAAAAGGAUCACACAAUCUGACAUUACAAGGAGCAGUCUUUUUCUUCACAUCUUUGUUUUAGCUUGCAUCCGACAGUUGUGUGCUCUAAGAUUAUGCAACCAAAACUGAACUUAUGACUACAUGAGUGCAUGAAGAACUGUUAAUAACUCUUAUUUGACUAAUCUUUGGAUUGACGGGAGACGAGAUUCUCUGGCUUUGGGGAUGGUCCUUUGGCGUUCUAUUGGGGUUCUAUUCAUGUGCACUAGGCACUUCUCAACACUUCAAUAAUUAUUCUAGAACCUCUUUAAAUUUGCAAUGCUCAUCAGAUUGUACAGGUUUUGCAGUCAACUAUUCAGAUUAUUGACUAGGGACGAUAUUUUCAGUCCUACCGAGUCUGCAAAGGAUGCGCCAAGCCAAGAUUAAUUAUGGUUUUUGUAAAUUGCAUCGGUUUACUUAUGUACCUGCUCCUUAGAUGAUUGUGAAUUUGUGAUUCAGCCGUGGAAAUUUGGGUGCUUUCUUCGAGUGUCCUGAAAAAUGGUUCAACGCGUGUUUGCCAGAAACUGUAGAUUAGCAAGACUAACGAGUGUUGAGCAUGUCAAUCUAUGUGUGGGCAUGAGUGAAAAUGUAAAUCAUGUUAGAGACGAGUUUCUGGAAAAAGUCCUGGAGACGUGCUGCUGCUGCUGCUGCUGCUCUUGAUAGCCAAAGUGGAGGCUGCAGUUCUAAGACUUCAAGGAGGAAAGGAAUACAUGGUUGCUUCUUGAAAAGGUGAGUUGUUUCCCUGCAGAAAAAUAAAUCUCUUAGAGUUGUUUAACUGAACCUGUUCCACUGUCAUUGUUGUGUUCAGAUAAAUAUUGUUAUUGGUCACUCAAUGCCUAAGCUGUUGUGGAUUAAUUUGAUUUGAAUUGGAUUGUAUUCCAAGAGUCCACAAGAUGUCAUUUCCGAAUGUGGUACUAAUUUCAGAACAUAGCACCAUUUUCUAAAAAUAAGGCUGGGCAACAUGAGCCAACCACAUGGAUGUUUCAAGAGGAAUAAACUCACUGUAGCUGCCGAAUUGGUAUUAGUAAGUUGCUGUUCCAACUUCCUAGAGAACCACAGGGGUGUUUAUUUUUACUAUUAUUAGUUGCAGCACAUGGCGACAAUGACGAGCACUUGUAUUUUUAAGUGCUGCACCUCUUUUUUGUUGAUCUUUGAUUCAUGUAUAUAUGUAAAUUCUAUGAAAAUGUAUCAUAGCAAAUGUGAAUACAUAACUCUAUGGUUGAUGUAUCUAUUGAUAUUGAUGUGUCUAUUAAUAUUAAGUUCUUUUUUCA
Molecule: RNA transcript, 2444 nt
Organism: Triticum aestivum (bread wheat)
Lineage: Eukaryota; Viridiplantae; Streptophyta; Magnoliopsida; Poales; Poaceae
Exons: 4
Source: RefSeq, a predicted model, not a curated record